This 397-nucleotide ribosomal RNA is filed under the name uncultured bacterium. Its description in RNAcentral is "partial 16S ribosomal RNA". It matches the Rfam family "Bacterial small subunit ribosomal RNA", at positions 523 to 918 of the family's 1533-position model. The record is from RNAcentral.
AUACGUAGGUGGCAAGCGUUGUCCGGAUUUAUUGGGCGUAAAGCGAGCGCAGGCGGUUCUUUAAGUCUGAUGUGAAAGCCCCCGGCUCAAACGGGGAGGGGCAUUGGAAACUGGAGAACUUGAGGGCAGAAGAGGAGAGUGGAAUUCCAUGUGUAGCGGGGAAAUGCGUAGAUAUAUGGAGGAACACCAGUGGCGAAGGCGGCUCUCUGGUCUGUAACUGACGCUGAGGCUCGAAAGCGUGGGGAGCAAACAGGAUUAGAUGCCCUGGUAGUCCACGCCGUAAACGAUGAGUGCUAAGUGUUGGAGGGUUUCCGCCCUUCAGUGCUGCAGCUAACGCAUUAAGCACUCCGCCUGGGGAGUACGGCCGCAAGGCUGAAACUCAAAGGAAUUGACGGGG